UCGGGAAUUUUGGGCAAUGGGCGAAAGCCUGACCCAGCAACGCCGCGUGAAGGAUGAAGUAUUUCGGUAUGUAAACUUCGUAAGAAUAGGAAGAAUAAAUGACGGUACUAUUUGUAAGGUCCGGCUAACUACGUGCCAGCAGCCGCGGUAAUACGUAGGGACCAAGCGUUGUUCGGAUUUACUGGGCGUAAAGGGCGCGUAGGCGGCGUGGUAAGUCAUCUGUGAAAUCCCCGGGCUCAACCUGGGAAUUGCAUUUGAGACUGCACGGCUAGAGUGUGUCAGAGGGGGGUAGAAUUCCACGUGUAGCAGUGAAAUGCGUAGAUAUGUGGAGGAAUACCGAUGGCGAAGGCAGCCCCCUGGGAUAACACUGACACUGAGGUGCGAAAGCGUGGGGAGCAAACAGGAUUAGAUACCCAAGUAGUCCCUGAGCGGGCUGGCAAGGCGCAU
Molecule: ribosomal RNA, 447 nt
Filed under: uncultured bacterium
Lineage: Bacteria
Description: bacterial SSU rRNA
Rfam family: Bacterial small subunit ribosomal RNA
Source: RNAcentral